Molecule: ribosomal RNA, 274 nt
Filed under: uncultured bacterium
Lineage: Bacteria
Description: partial 16S ribosomal RNA
Rfam family: Bacterial small subunit ribosomal RNA
Source: RNAcentral
AUACGGAGGGUGCAAGCGUUGUUCGGAAUCACUGGGCGUAAAGCGCGUGCAGGCGGCCCAUUAAGUCAGAUGUGAAAGCCCUCGGCUCAACCAAGGAACUGCAUCUGAAACUACUGGGCUUGAGUACGGGAGAGGAGAGUGGAAUUCCCGGUGUAGAGGUGAAAUUCGUAGAUAUCGGGAAGAACACCGGUGGCGAAGGCGGCUCUCUGGACCGAUACUGACGCUGAGACGCGAAAGCGUGGGGAGCAAACAGGAUUAGAAACCCGGGUAGUCC